This 403-nucleotide ribosomal RNA is filed under the name uncultured bacterium. Its description in RNAcentral is "bacterial SSU rRNA". It matches the Rfam family "Bacterial small subunit ribosomal RNA", at positions 27 to 424 of the family's 1533-position model. The record is from RNAcentral.
GAAUGAACGCUGGCGGCGCGCCUAAUACAUGCAAGUCGAGCGAGAAGACGUAGCAAUACGUUUGUAAAGCGGCGAACGGGUGAGGAAUACAUGGGUAACCUACCCUCGAGUGGGGAAUAACUAGCCGAAAGGUUAGCUAAUACCGCGUACGCCUCUUGGACUUCGGUUCAGGGAGGAAAGCGAUGCCGAGGGUAUCGCGCUCUUGGAUGGGCUCAUGUCCUAUCAGCUUGGGUGAGGUAACGGCUCACCAAGGCUUCGACGGGUAGCUGGUCUGAGAGGACGAUCAGCCACACUGGCACUGCGACACGGGCCAGACUCCUACGGGAGCAGCAGUAAGGAAUAUUGCGCAAUGGGCGAAAGCCUGACGCAGCGACGCCGCGUGGGGGAUGAAGGUCUUCGGAUU